GGAAAGAGUAAAAAAGGAAGAGAUCAGGAAUUCAGGAUUAUUCAAGAGCUAAGGCUGACCCGGUCAUGAAGAUCCGCUUACCGCUAUGAGGGACCGUCGCUGACUAUUAGAUGUAAGCGACUAACACGGCUGACUCCUCUGGAUCUAUGGCAUGAACAAUACACUUUUUGGAGGGUGAGCCUUUACACAACACAUUCUUACAGAGAUUUCUUGAAUCAACAGCACUGAAGAUAUUGAUUGCACUAGACAGCUUACUGGACUUUCCUGAAACCUCUUUAUAUUCUAGCCAUAUUGUGAUUUUUAAUAUGUAUGGAACCGUGUCUUAACUCAGUGAUUCUUUAGUUGUACAUUACUUUUUGUUUGUGCAUCAGUGGAAAUGUUUGUGGUUCAUACAAUUAUUCUAUAAAUGCUAUAAUUGUUAUAUAAUGGUAUGGCUUG
This is a long non-coding RNA of Eublepharis macularius, 438 nucleotides long. RefSeq lists it as uncharacterized. Lineage: Eukaryota; Metazoa; Chordata; Lepidosauria; Squamata; Eublepharidae. The record is from RefSeq and is a predicted model, not a curated record. The transcript has 3 exons.